CCCUUAGAUGUUCUGGGCCGCACGCGCGCUACACUGAUGCAUUCAACAAGCCUAGCCUUGACCGAGAGGUCCGGGUAAUCUUUGAAACUGCAUCGUGAUGGGGCUAGAUUAUUGCAAUUAUUAAUCUUCAACGAGGAAUGCCUAGUAAGCGUGAUUCAUCAAAUCGCGUUGAUUACGUCCCUGCCCUUUGUACACACCGCCCGUCGCUCCUGCCGAUUGAAUGUGUUGGUGAGGAGCUCGGAUUGGCAGCAGUUGGUGGUUCGCCACCGGCUAUUGCUGAGAAGUCCUCCAAACCGCCCCAUUUAGAGGAAGGAGAAGUCGUAACA
This 326-nucleotide ribosomal RNA is filed under the name uncultured eukaryote. RNAcentral's name for it is "partial 18S ribosomal RNA". It matches the Rfam family "Eukaryotic small subunit ribosomal RNA", at positions 1470 to 1796 of the family's 1831-position model. The record is from RNAcentral.